Molecule: non-coding RNA, 201 nt
Organism: Prunus avium (sweet cherry)
Lineage: Eukaryota; Viridiplantae; Streptophyta; Magnoliopsida; Rosales; Rosaceae
Source: RefSeq, a predicted model, not a curated record
UUUACUCAAUGCUCGUCGUUAAACCGCUUCCUGCAUACCCAAAUCCCUAUUAACGACGCCGUCAGCUCCGCCGCGGGCUUCACUACGACCCUAAUCAGCAUAAGUUUGUGGCUUUCGGCGUCGGAAGAUGACUAAGUUGACAAUUUUGAUUAAUUAUGAUGGGAAGUGGGUUAAUUCUUUAUAUAAGGGUGGUAAAAUGAA